Molecule: ribosomal RNA, 468 nt
Filed under: uncultured bacterium
Lineage: Bacteria
Description: partial 16S ribosomal RNA
Rfam family: Bacterial small subunit ribosomal RNA
Source: RNAcentral
GACGAACGCUGGCGGCGUGCUUAACACAUGCAAGUCGAACGGACAGGCCCUGCUUUUGUGGGGUGCUCGAGUGGCGAACGGGUGAGUAACACGUGAGUAACCUGCCCUUGACUUUGGGAUAACUUCAGGAAACUGGGGCUAAUACCGGAUAGGAGCUCCUGCUGCAUGGUGGGGGUUGGAAAGUUUCGGCGGUUGGGGAUGGACUCGCGGCUUAUCAGCUUGUUGGUGGGGUAGUGGCUUACCAAGGCUUUGACGGGUAGCCGGCCUGAGAGGUGGACCGGCGACAUUGCGACUGAGAUACGGCCCAGACUCCUACGGUCGGCAACAGUGGGGAAUAUUGCACAAUGGGCGGAAGCCUGAUGCAGCAACGUUGCGUGCGGGACGACGGCCUUCGGGUUGUAAACCGCUUUCUCCUGUGACGAAGCGGGAGUGACGGUAAUGGGUAAAGAAGCACCGGCUAACUACGUG